GAAGAAGGAAAAAAAAGUGAGCAUCGCUGUGACCCACUCGUCAGGCCGUGGUCGUUCUGAAGAGAGCCAGCGGGCUCUAGGAAGAAUCGGGGUGAAGGGUCGGGAAAAACCGGGAGGCCCGGGCGUGACGGCAUCCCGCCCCACCACCCGGCCGCCCGGGCCGCCUUUGUGCGGGCGGCGCCCUGCCGCGGGCCCUGUCCCCGGGCUGCAGCGAGGCUGCUGGUCCGCGGUGCCCUGGCCUUCGGCCGAGGCUGACCCCACAGGUCAGCUCCGAAGCGGCCCCUCCUGCGCCCGAGGUCGAGACCACCGGGAGUUCGCCACCCACCCUGCAGGGCUGAGGACUGUGUCCGUGUCUGUCGGGAGCCACGUUGGUUCCCAUUUACAGAGGACGUAUUUGCAUUUUAGUGAGCCCUUCCGAGGACUCCAAACCCUCUUCCAAAAGGAAACCUAUGGAAGGCUGGGAAUUUCAAAAGUGCGGCAGGAUAUUAGAACCAGAAGGUCCCUGGAGACCACCUAAGCAAACCCUGUUAGUUUCCUGAUGAAGAUGCUGACUCAGAGAGGUUCCAGUGACUUCGACAAUGUCACACAGUUCACUAGGGAGGCCUGCAGUAGCCAAUGAGUCCCCUGUCCCUCCCCACCU
This is a long non-coding RNA of Myotis davidii, 640 nucleotides long. RefSeq lists it as uncharacterized. NCBI's taxonomy places the organism in Eukaryota, Metazoa, Chordata, Mammalia, Chiroptera, Vespertilionidae. The transcript is spliced from 3 exons. The record is from RefSeq and is a predicted model, not a curated record.